Molecule: ribosomal RNA, 254 nt
Filed under: uncultured bacterium
Lineage: Bacteria
Description: partial 16S ribosomal RNA
Rfam family: Bacterial small subunit ribosomal RNA
Source: RNAcentral
UACGGGGGGAGCAAGCGUUGUUCGGAUUUACUGGGCGUAAAGGGCGCGUAGGCGGUCAGCACAAGUCAGUUGUGAAAUCUCCGGGCUUAACUCGGAAAGGUCAACUGAUACUGUGCGACUAGAGUGCGGAAGGGGCAACUAGAAUUCUCGGUGUAGCGGUGAAAUGCGUAGAUAUCGAGAGGAACACCUGCGGCGAAGGCGGGUUGCUGGGCCGACACUGACGCUGAUGCGCGAAAGCCAGGGGAGCGAACGGG